Argiope bruennichi is the source of this 559-nucleotide long non-coding RNA. RefSeq lists it as uncharacterized. The transcript has 4 exons. NCBI's taxonomy places the organism in Eukaryota, Metazoa, Arthropoda, Arachnida, Araneae, Araneidae. The record is from RefSeq and is a predicted model, not a curated record.
UUAACGCAUUUUAGAGUAAUGCUACAUUUUAACUGAACUCAAUUUUAAACACUAGUUGCUGUAUUAGUUAGUAUCAGUGUCGUUUUAUUAAAUUUGAGCGCCCUGGUCCAGAGUAAUUUGACGCCCCAUCAGAAUCAUAAAUUGGAAUUUGAGUGCCCUUGGCUAGAGUAAUUUGACGCUCCAUCGGAACUGUGAUUAGAAUUUUCAUCGCCUACGAAUCAGUGAAAAUGCCCACCUCAUAAAAUAAUGGAGGAGUAAAAGAAUUUCAAAUCGGAGUCAGAUGGCUUGACUAUUUAUUGACAUGCUUAUUCGAUUUUAUGAUAAAGUAUUAACUCCAAAAACGAAACAAGCUAGAAGCGGGGAUUUCAAGAAAUGUAGAAGAGAGGGACUUUGAAGAUUGGUCAAAAGUAGGUGAAUCACUCCGGUGCAAAUACCUAAAUGGAAAAGGACGUUGAUGAUCUUAUUGAUUUUUAAGCAGAAGCAAUUUCAAAAAAAAUCCUUAGCGGAAAAUAUUACCUGAAAGUGGUGAGGAAUUUUUUGAUUUUGAAGACAGUGCGUG